This is a non-coding RNA of Podarcis lilfordi (Lilford's wall lizard), 490 nucleotides long. The record is from the annotation of a GenBank genome assembly. NCBI's taxonomy places the organism in Eukaryota, Metazoa, Chordata, Lepidosauria, Squamata, Lacertidae.
CCCUGUUUGCCCAACACAUUUCCAGUUAACCUCCCCACCACAAAGACAAGGAAAGAAAUGAUGCUUUGGUUUCCAUUUGUGUUCACUUUAGCAGCCUUCAAAGGUAUUUUUUCAAAUACAGGGGAGAGUACCAUUCACAGAGUUAUAUGAAGCAGAUCUCUUACAAACAUUCUUUCUUUUCAGGUGUCCAAGCAGACAUCCAGCUUGUUGAGUCUGGAGGAGAUGUCAAAAGGCCCGGAGAGUCUCUCCGCCUCUCCUGUCGAAUCUCUGGAUUCACCCUCAGCAGCUACUGCAUGGAUUGGGUACGACAGGCUCCAGGGAAGGGACUGGAAUGGAUUGCAAGCGAUUGUGGUGGAAGUUCACAAUAUUAUGCUGCCUCAGUGAGAGGGCGCUUCACCAUCUCCAAGGACAACUCUGCAAACAUGGUAUAUCUGCAAAUGAACAGCCUGAAACCUGAGGACACAGCUGUUUAUUACUGUGCAAGAGACAC